GAAAAUUUGUUAAAGUUUUAUAUUAAGGAAAAAUAAUAUUAAUGUAAAUUUUUUUUUUCUUUUUAUAAUUUGAAGCUAUUAUAUAUUAUACUUAGUUAUGAUUAAUAAGUGGCAAAUAAAGUGCCAGCAGUCGCGGUCAUACUUUUUCUUUUUUUAAUAAAAUAUAAAAAUAUACAAAUAAUUGAAAUAAUUAAGUAAAAUUAAUUGAAAUAAAUAUAAAAAGGGAUUAGAUACCCCUGUAUAAGGUAUAAAAUGUAGUGAUUAAAAUAUAUAUAACUAGACGGUUAUUUUUUUUUACAGAGAGUCUUGCGAUUUAAUACGAUAUUCCCCGUUAAUUAAUUUUAUAUAAAUGUGUGUAUGUCCGUUAUUAAUUACUAUAAUAGGAUUAACUUAUGUUUUAAAAUUUUUCAGGUACCAUUCACUAUAUAAAACAUUUAGUGAGACUCAAUAUUUUUAAAAAUUUAUAUUAAAGAGAAUUUGUAAGUAAAAAAAAAAUUUAAAAGUUUUUUUGAAUAGUAAUUAGAGUACUCACCGCCCGCCAUGUGUAUUUUACAUAAAGGCGUAACAAGGUAGUUUAUCUAGAAAGAUAAACUGGU
RNAcentral lists this ribosomal RNA (596 nucleotides) under Diplosoma listerianum. RNAcentral describes it as "small subunit ribosomal RNA". The record is from RNAcentral. Lineage: Eukaryota; Metazoa; Chordata; Ascidiacea; Aplousobranchia; Didemnidae.